ACGAACGCUGGCGGCGUGGAUAAGACAUGCAAGUCGAACGCUGGCUUAAAGGUAGCAAUAUUUUUAAGUCGGAGUGGCGCAAGGGUGCGUAACACGUGGGCAAUCUACCGUGAAGUUGGGGAUAACUUGCCGAAAGGUAAGCUAAUACCGAAUGUGGCCUCUGAAGGGCAUCCUUUAGAGAUUAAAGCUGGGGACCGUAAGGCCUGGCGCUUCAUGAUGAGCCCGCGGCCUAUCAGCUUGUUGGUGAGGUAAAAGCUCACCAAGGCUAUGACGGGUAGCUGGUCUGAGAGGACGAUCAGUCACACUGGAACUGAGACACGGUCCAGACACCUACGGGUGGCAGCAGUCGAGAAUCUUUCUCAAUGGGCGAAAGCCUGAAGGAGCGACGCCGCGUGGGGGAUGAAUGGCUUCGGCCCGUAAACCCCUGUCAUUCGUGAACAAUGCCUGCGGAAUAACACUUCGCAGGUUGAUAGUACUGGAAGAGGAAGGGACGGCUAACUCUGUGCCAGCAGCCGCGGUAAUACAGAGGUCCCAAGCGUUGUUCGGAUUCACUGGGCGUAAAGGGUGCGUAGGUGGCAGGGUAAGUUUGAUGUGAAAUCUCCGGGCUCAACCCGGAAACUGCAUUGGAAACUGCCUUGCUAGAGGAUCGGAGGGGAAAUUGGAAUUCCCGGUGUAGCAGUGAAAUGCGUAGAUAUCGGGAGGAACACCAGUGGCGAAGGCGGAUUUCUGGACGAUACCUGACACUGAGGCACGAAAGCUGGGGGAGCAAACAGGAUUAGAUACCCUGGUAGUCCCAGCCGUAAACGGUGCGUACUUGCUGUAGGAGGAAUCGACCCCUUCUGUGGCGGAGCUAACGCGUUAAGUACGCCGCCUGGGGAGUACGGCCGCAAGGUUAAAACUCAAAGAAAUUGACGGGGGCCUGCACAAGCGGUGGAGUAUGUGGCUUAAUUCGAUGCAACGCGAAGAACCUUACCUGGCCUUGACAAGCAAGUGGUAGGAACCUGAAAGGGUGACGAGGUAGCCGGAGCAAUUUGCACAGGUGCUGCAUGGCUGUCGUCAGCUCGUGUCGUGAGAUGUUGGGUUAAGUCCCGCAACGAGCGCAACCCUUGUGUCCUGUUGCCACUCGAACUUCGGUUCGGAGCACUCUGGACAGACUGCCUGGUUCCAACCAGGAGGAAGGUGGGGAUGACGUCAAGUCAGUAUGGCCCUUACGGCCAGGGCUGCACACGUACUACAAUGCCCGGCACAGAGGGAAGCAAGACCGCAAGGUGGAGCAAAUCCCUAAAAACCGGGCUCAGUUCGGAUUGUCGUCUGCAACUCGACGGCAUGAAGCUGGAAUCGCUAGUAAUGGCGCAUCAGCUACGGCGCCGUGAUACGUUCCCAGGCAUUGCAC
This 1393-nucleotide ribosomal RNA is filed under the name uncultured prokaryote. RNAcentral's name for it is "partial 16S ribosomal RNA". It matches the Rfam family "Bacterial small subunit ribosomal RNA", at positions 29 to 1386 of the family's 1533-position model. The record is from RNAcentral.